UGCUAUUGGGAUUCGACUAAGCCAUGCGAGUCGUGAGGGUUCGGCCCUCGGCGAACGGCUCAGUAACACGUAGAUAAUUUGCCCUUAGGUGGAGGAUACCCUCGGGAAACUGAGAAUAAUACUCCAUAGAUUUAGAAUGCUGGAAUGCUUUUAAAUUGAAAGAUUUAUCGCCUAAGGAUAAGUCUGCGGACUAUCAGGUCGUAGUUAGGGUAAAUACCUGACUAGCCUACGACGGAUACGGGUUGUGAGAGCACUAGCCCGGAGACGAUAUCUGAGACACGAUAUCAGGCCCUACGGGGCGCAGCAGGCGCGAAAACUUCGCACUGUGCGAAAGCACGACGAGGGAAUCCCAAGUGCUGGCUCGUAAGAGUCAGCUGUUUCUUUGUCUAAAAAACAGAGAGAGUAAGAGCUGGGUAAGACGGGUGCCAGCCGCCGCGGUAAUACCUGCAGCUCAAGUGGUGGCCGCUAUUAUUGGGCCUAAAACGUCCGUAGCCGGUUCUAUAAAUGCCUGGGUAAAUCGUACGGCUUAACCGUACGAAUUCCGGGUAGACUGUUCAACUUGGGACCGGGAGAGGCUAGAGGUACUCCUGGGGUAGAGGUGAAAUUCUGUAAUCCUAGGGGGGCCACCAGUGGCGAAGGCGUCUAGCUAGAACGGGUCUGACGGUGAGGGACGA
RNAcentral lists this ribosomal RNA (674 nucleotides) under uncultured archaeon. Its description in RNAcentral is "bacterial SSU rRNA". It matches the Rfam family "Archaeal small subunit ribosomal RNA", at positions 28 to 707 of the family's 1478-position model. The record is from RNAcentral.